GAUGAAGAACGUAGCGAAAUGCGAUAAGUAAUGUGAAUUGCAGAAUUCAGUGAAUCAUCGAAUCUUUGAACGCACAUUGCGCCCGUCAGUAUUCUGGCGGGCAUGCCUGUUCGAGCGUCAUUACGCCCCUCAAGUCCCCUGUGGACUUGGUGUUGGGGAUCGGCGAGUCUGGUUUUCCAGCACAGCCGUCCCUUAAAUUAAUUGGCGGUCUCGCCGUGGCCCUCCUCUGCGCAGUAGUAAAACACUCGCAACAGGAGCCCGGCGCGGUCCACUGCCGUAAAACCCCCCAACUUUUUAUAGUUGACCUCGAAUCAGGUAGGACUACCCGCUGAACUUAAGCAUAUCAAUAAGCGGAGGA
RNAcentral lists this unclassified non-coding RNA (358 nucleotides) under soil metagenome. RNAcentral's name for it is "partial contains 5.8S ribosomal RNA, internal transcribed spacer 2, and large subunit ribosomal RNA". The stretch from base 1 to 120 matches the Rfam family "5.8S ribosomal RNA", at positions 35 to 154 of the family's 154-position model. The record is from RNAcentral.